CAGCGUGCUCCGGGGUCGGUGAAAGUCCGAACCGGCGGUGACAGUCCGCGACCCGUGCGAAGUCGUUCCGACGGCCUCGCCCGGUUGACCAGGUGGAACUCCUGGACCGACGGUUAAAGUCCGGAUGGGAGGCAGCACGCGG
This 142-nucleotide non-coding RNA is filed under the name Actinopolymorpha singaporensis. Its description in RNAcentral is "FMN sequence". It matches the Rfam family "FMN riboswitch aptamer (RFN element)". From Rfam's summary of the family: The RFN element is a highly conserved domain that is found frequently in the 5'-untranslated regions of prokaryotic mRNAs that encode for flavin mononucleotide (FMN) biosynthesis and transport proteins. This element is a metabolite-dependent riboswitch that directly binds FMN in the absence of proteins. Lineage: Bacteria; Bacillati; Actinomycetota; Actinomycetes; Propionibacteriales; Actinopolymorphaceae. The record is from Rfam by way of RNAcentral.